Long non-coding RNA from Oncorhynchus keta (chum salmon), 695 nucleotides. RefSeq lists it as uncharacterized. The record is from RefSeq and is a predicted model, not a curated record. The transcript has 8 exons. Lineage: Eukaryota; Metazoa; Chordata; Actinopteri; Salmoniformes; Salmonidae.
CCUGAGAGCCCAGGUUGUUUAACCCAGUCAGUCCUGAGAGCCCAGGUUGUUUAACCCUGUCAGUCCUGAGAGCCCAGGUUGUUUAACCCUGUCAGUCCUGAGAGCCCAGGUUGUUUAACCCUGUCAGUCCUGAGACCGUCAGUCCUGAGAGCCCAGGUUGUUAAACCCUGUCAGUCCUGAGAGCCCAGGUUGUUUAACCCUGUCAGUCCUGAGAGCCCAGGUUGUUUAACCCUGUCAGUCCUGAGAGCCCAGGUUGUUUAACCCUGUCAGUCCUGAGAGCCCAGGUUGUUUAACCCAGUCAGUCCUGAGAGCCCAGGUUGUUUAACCCUGUCAGUCCUGAGAGCCCAGGUUGUUUAACCCUGUCAGUCCUGAGAGCCCAGGUUGUUUAACCCUGUCAGUCCUGAGAGCCCAGGUUGUUUAACCCUGUCAGUCCUGAGAGCCCAGGUUGUUUAACCCUGUCAGUCCUGAGAGCCCAGGUUGUUUAACCCUGUCAGUCCUGAGAGCCCAGGUUGUUUAACCCUGUCAGUCCUGAGAGCCCAGGUUGUUUAACCCAGUCAGUCCUGAGAGCCCAGGUUGUUUAACCCUGUCAGUCCUGAGAGCCCAGGUUGUUUAACCCAGUCAGUCCUGAGAGCCCAGGUUGUUUAACCCUGUCAGUCCUGAGAGCCCAGGUUGUUUAACCCUGUCAGUCCUGAGAG